CCCGAAGCCGGACUAGGACGGAAAGCCGCGAGGGUCCCGCCCUGCGCGCGUCGGGGGCACGGGAUUGGACGGAAGCCGCGAGGGUCCCACCCUGCGCUGGAAGGGGUGGGCUGUCGAGGCCUGCUGGCCCCGCCCCCGCCAGUGUCCCCGGCUCCAGUUGCGUCCUAAACUGUGGACCCCCGGAACGCGAACAGAAAAUCGGAUUAGCGUUUUGCAGUCCCGGCUACAGCAGCUUCCUUCCGGAUGCUGCGGGCAAUUGGCCUCGGUCCAGACGUGUAGGCAGCUCUGCUCACUCUCGGGCACAGCCCUAUGGCUGGUACUGUGUAUGGCAGGAUCCAUAUGGACACAGGACCCCAGGACAAGAGACUGCCUCUGGAUAGAGAGGAUACAGAUGUGACGCAUAGGCAAAUGGCAGUUUAUAAAGACCAGGAUUGAUGGAGGCGACAACAUGGAAAUAAGAGAGACCAACCUCUACGCAAGCUAAUUGUGCUUUGAUCAAAACAAUAAACGACACCGGUCUCUCCAGUUCUGUUCCCCUGCAGUCUCAAUGUUGCAAAUAUUUAAAAAAAUAAGAUUAAAUUUAAAAAAUCUGUAAUGUGUUGUUUCUACUACUCCA
Long non-coding RNA from Mastomys coucha (southern multimammate mouse), 616 nucleotides. RefSeq lists it as uncharacterized. The transcript has 3 exons. The record is from RefSeq and is a predicted model, not a curated record. NCBI's taxonomy places the organism in Eukaryota, Metazoa, Chordata, Mammalia, Rodentia, Muridae.